UUUGCCUCGAUGGCACUUUCCUGUCCGCGACUCCGCCCCCACCAGAGGGGCUAGGCUCUGGGAUUCAAGAUGGAGGCGCUGAGUCGAGCUGGGCAGGAGAUGAGCCUAGCGGCCCUGAAGCAACACGACCCCUAUAUCACCAGCAUCGCAGACCUCACGGGCCAGGAGAAGACUGAUAUAGAAGGGACCUUAUUCGUAUAUCGAAGGUCAGCUUCCCCUUACCAUGGUUUUACCAUUGUGAAUCGACUAAAUAUGCACAAUCUAGUUGAACCAGUGAAUAAAGAUUUGGAAUUUCAGCUCCAUGAACCAUUUCUUCUGUAUAGAAAUGCAAGCUUGUCGAUAUAUAGUAUCUGGUUUUAUGACAAGAAUGACUGUCACCGCAUAGCAAAACUCAUGGCUGAUGUGGUAGAAGAGGAGACACGGCGAUCCCAGCAAGCUGCUCGGGACAAACAGAGUCCCAGCCAGGCCAAUGGCUGCAGCGACCACAGGCCCAUCGACAUCCUGGAGAUGCUGAGCAGAGCCAAGGAUGAGUAUGAGAGGAAUCAGAUGGGUGACUCAAAUAUCUCCAGCCCUGGGUUACAGCCAAGCACUCAGCUCUCCAAUCUGGGAAGCACCGAGACUCUAGAAGAAAUGCCCUCCGGGUCACAGGAUAAGUCUGCUCCAUCUGGACACAAGCAUCUGACGGUAGAAGAGUUAUUUGGAACCUCUUUGCCAAAGGAACAACCAGCAGUUGUGGGUCUGGAUUCAGAAGAAAUGGAGAGGUUGCCAGGAGAUGCCUCCCAGAAAGAGCCCAAUUCAUUCCUACCAUUUCCCUUUGAGCAGUUAGGAGGAGCCCCUCAAUCAGAAACC
This 849-nucleotide long non-coding RNA is filed under the name Homo sapiens (human). Its description in RNAcentral is "non-protein coding lnc-TKT-3:1". Lineage: Eukaryota; Metazoa; Chordata; Mammalia; Primates; Hominidae. The record is from RNAcentral.